Molecule: long non-coding RNA, 932 nt
Filed under: Marmota monax (woodchuck)
Lineage: Eukaryota; Metazoa; Chordata; Mammalia; Rodentia; Sciuridae
Source: RNAcentral
CUGCUUCCUACUUGGUCUCUGGAGGUCUUGUGGACCUCCUUGCUGGAUGAGAGACAGCACAUGCCACAGUCUGGCUGGGCACAAAUAACCGAGCCACCACAAAGCCUUGUAGGUUCAAACAGCAGCAAGAGCCACCCCAUUGCCCGACAGCAAAGGUCAAAUAUACAAUUCAAUCAAUCCAGCAUCACAGCAAUUAUAUAUAGCUUAACUCAAACCAUCAUCUCAAUGGUUCGCCAUUGUCAUCCUUCAACCAUUCUCUCUGGCAAAUGCCAGGUGUCAUUCUGACUGGGCCGUGGCUCUCAACAAGCACAUGUAGAGUAGAACCUCUGAGAAUACAGACAUAAGAUUUUGCUAUAGAAAUAUUCUGCACUACCAGCUGUCUCUUCUUCAUGGACCUGCACUGAGUAUUCAUCAGGACACUUGGCUUCAGGGAGGAGAAUACAGAAAGUCUUCCUCUGAGGAGGAAGGGACAGGCUGCCUAUAGGAGAAAAGCAUAAAUUUCCCUGUACUUUUUUCCCUAAGAACAAAUGCUUUAAGCAAUGGGGAAGGGCAACCCUGUGACCUCAGGCAUAUAUGAGAACCCACCGUAGCUGGAGAAAUGGAAAAUAAAUGAACUGUGACUCCUCAGGGAUGGGCAGGAAGCUAUCCUUAGUUGAGAGCAGUAGAGAUUUUCCUAAUGCUGGUGGGAAGGGGAGAAGGAGGAGACAAGAUCACAGAGAAAGACUUUUCCCUCCCCCAGCCAGAAACAGAAAAAUCAGACAUGAGACAUGCUUAAGACUGAGGAUUAACCAAAACAACCGAGAAUCUCAUUCCUUCUCUUCACUGGGCCAAGAAACCCUAAGGGAAAAGCAUUGUAGUCUCCCAGUAGAGAAGUAACAAGGGCAGGAAUACUUUCUUAGACACAGGUGCAGCAAGGAAGAACUAGGCUAGGA